Molecule: ribosomal RNA, 538 nt
Filed under: Perenniporia fergusii
Lineage: Eukaryota; Fungi; Basidiomycota; Agaricomycetes; Polyporales; Polyporaceae
Description: eukaryotic LSU rRNA
Rfam family: 5.8S ribosomal RNA (bases 193-346)
Source: RNAcentral
UCGAGUUUUGAAGGGGUUGUAGCUGGCCUUGCGAGGCAUGUGCACGCCCCGCUCAAUCCACUCUACACCUGUGCACUUACUGUAGGCUUCGGAGGCGAAGCGGGCUUCAUCGCUCGCGGACCCGACGGGCUUACGUUUUAUUACAAACCCUUCAGUAUCAGAACGUGUAUCGCGGAUUAACGCAUUAAAUACAACUUUCAGCAACGGAUCUCUUGGCUCUCGCAUCGAUGAAGAACGCAGCGAAAUGCGAUAAGUAAUGUGAAUUGCAGAAUUCAGUGAAUCAUCGAAUCUUUGAACGCACCUUGCGCUCCUCGGUAUUCCGAGGAGCAUGCCUGUUUGAGUGUCAUGAAAUUCUCAACCUUACGAGCCUUUGCGGGUUCAGUAGGGUUGGACUUUGGAGGCUUGUCGGCCUUGUCGGUCGGCUCCUCUCAAACGCAUUAGCUUGGUUCCUUGCGGAUCGGCUCUCGGUGUGAUAAUUGUCUACGCCGCGACCGUGAAGCGUUUGGCGAGCUUCUAACGGUCUCUUCGGAGACGAACC